GAUUAUUUUUUAUUGUUGAAAAAAUUAAAAAUAAAUUGUUUUUAACAAAAAUUAAAAUUUAUAAUAUUUCAUUUUUUGGUUUUUUGUUUUAAAUUAAAAUAAUAAAUAUGGGGGAAAAAAAAAUUUUGUUAUAAAUUAUAUUAGUUUAUUUUAAUUAAAAAUAUUUUUUAUUAAAUUUGUUUUUUUUAUUUUUUUAUAAAAAAUAUUAAUUUAAUUAUUAUUAUUGAGUUUAAUUUAGUUAUUUUUAAAAAAAUUUUGUAUAAAAUAAAUUUGAUAAUAAAUGUUUUUUAAAUUCUUUGGGGGUUUAGUUUAUGAUUUUUUGUUUCUGCUCAUUGUUAAAUAAAAGCACUUUUAGCGUGAUUAGUCAAAGGUAGCGAGGUAAUUUGUUUUUUUAUUGAAUUCUAGUAUGAAUGGAGAUUUUGUUAUCAAAUAUAUUUAAUUGAGAAGAAAUUUUGGAUUUAUUUAAAAAAUAAUAAAUUUAAUAAAACUAAGAAAAGUCUUUAGAAAUAAA
This 511-nucleotide ribosomal RNA is filed under the name Meloidogyne enterolobii. RNAcentral describes it as "partial 16S large subunit ribosomal RNA". The record is from RNAcentral. Lineage: Eukaryota; Metazoa; Nematoda; Chromadorea; Rhabditida; Meloidogynidae.